GUGAAUCAUCAAAUUUUUGAACGCAAAUUGCGCCUUUUUCGGUUGGCAUGUCUGUUUGUGUUCACGAUUUAACAAAUCAUGUACAUUUCGUGUGCACACGUUGAUGAGUUUUCCAUAAUUAUGUAUUAUUAUUUUUGGUGGCGCAUAAUAAACAGCGCGAUGCUUUUUUUCAGUUCGAGUGUAGUAAAAUUUUUUCUUGCUUGGGUUGUGAGAAGCGUGAUCACGCAAUGGUUGUGGCGAUUCUACUAACUCUGCCCCAACGC
This 263-nucleotide unclassified non-coding RNA is filed under the name Paraglomus occultum. RNAcentral describes it as "partial internal transcribed spacer 2". The record is from RNAcentral. Lineage: Eukaryota; Fungi; Glomeromycota; Glomeromycetes; Paraglomerales; Paraglomeraceae.